Molecule: ribosomal RNA, 441 nt
Filed under: uncultured bacterium
Lineage: Bacteria
Description: partial 16S ribosomal RNA
Rfam family: Bacterial small subunit ribosomal RNA
Source: RNAcentral
CUACGGGCCGCUGCAGUCGAGAAUCUUCGGCAAUGGACGAAAGUCUGACCGAGCGACGCCGCGUGCGGGAUGAAGGCCUUCGGGUUGUAAACCGCUGUCAGAGGGAAGGAAAUUUUGACCGAUCCUCAAAGGAAGUACGGGCUAAGUUCGUGCCAGCAGCCGCGGUAAGACGAGACCGUACAAACGUCAUUCGGAAUCACUGGGCUUAAAGGGUGCGUAGGUGGUCUAUUAAGUUGGGUGUGAAAUCCCUCGGCUCAACCGAGGAACUGCGCUCAAUACUGGUAGACUUGAGGGAGAUAGAGGUGAGCGGAACUGAUGGUGGAGCGGUGAAAUGCGUUGAUAUCAUCGGGAACACCUGUGGCGAAAGCGGCUCACUGGAUCUCUUCUGACACUGAGGCACGAAAGCUAGGGGAGCGAACGGGAUUAGAUACCCUCGUAGUC